This 246-nucleotide long non-coding RNA is filed under the name Mytilus galloprovincialis (Mediterranean mussel). The record is from RNAcentral. Lineage: Eukaryota; Metazoa; Mollusca; Bivalvia; Mytilida; Mytilidae.
UUAUGUUCUCCUUCGCUUGCUCAUCCGAACAUAAAACUUUUCUGAUUACUUCAAAGACAACUAAAGACUUAUGUGAAUUGAGAGAUGCACCAAAGCAGUUUUAAUAAACUUUUUUACAACAAAAAUAUUUCAUUCAUAAUCAAUAUAUUAGUCCAAAUUGUAUUAAAUUAUUUCAAAGUCCAAAUUAUCGACACAAUUCUGGAAUCACACAAUCUACAAAUAUAAAUAAUAUGAAUUAGAACAAGA